RNAcentral lists this ribosomal RNA (661 nucleotides) under Turbinellus floccosus. RNAcentral describes it as "eukaryotic LSU rRNA". It matches the Rfam family "Eukaryotic large subunit ribosomal RNA", at positions 43 to 656 of the family's 3401-position model. The record is from RNAcentral. Lineage: Eukaryota; Fungi; Basidiomycota; Agaricomycetes; Gomphales; Gomphaceae.
CUCUUGAGCACAGGAAAAGAAACUAACAAGGAUUCCCCUAGUAACGGCGAGUGAAGCGGGAAGAGCUCAAAUUUGUAAUCUGGCGGCCUUUGGCCGUCCGAGUUGUAGUCUCGAGAAGCGCUUUCUGCGUCGGACCGUGUACAAGUCCCUUGGAACAGGGCGUCGUAGAGGGUGAGAAUCCCGUCUUUGACACCGACUGCCGGUGCUUUGUGAUGCGCUCUCAAAGAGUCGAGUUGUUUGGGAAUGCAGCUCAAAACGGGUGGUAAAUUCCAUCUAAAGCUAAAUAUUGGCGAAAGACCGAUAGCGAACAAGUACCGUGAGGGAAAGAUGAAAAGCACUUUGGAAAGAGAGUUAAACAGUACGUGAAAUUGCUGAAAGGGAAACGCUUGAAGUCAGUCGCGUCUCCCGGGACUCAGCCGUGCCCCAUCGGGCGCGGUGUACUUCCUGGGUGUGACGGGCCAGCAUCGAUUUCGGCCGUCGGAGAAAGGCCUUGGGAAUGUGGCACCUUCGGGUGUGUUAUAGCCCUGGGUCGCAUGCGACGGGUCGGGAUCGAGGACCGCAGCGCGUUYCUUCUUCCUUCACGGGGAGGGGGCUCGGGGUUCGCCCCACCACAAACGUUGCUUCAGGAUGCUUGGCGUAAUGGCUUUAAGCGACCCGCUUG